This 555-nucleotide ribosomal RNA is filed under the name uncultured Hyphomicrobiales bacterium. RNAcentral's name for it is "bacterial SSU rRNA". It matches the Rfam family "Bacterial small subunit ribosomal RNA", at positions 66 to 665 of the family's 1533-position model. Lineage: Bacteria; Pseudomonadati; Pseudomonadota; Alphaproteobacteria; Hyphomicrobiales. The record is from RNAcentral.
GCGCACAGGUUUACCUGUGAGCGGCAGACGGGUGAGUAACGCGUGGGAAUCUACCUUAAGCUGCGGGAUAACAGAGAGAAAUUUCUGCUAAUACCGCAUGUGCCCGAAAGGGGAAAGAUUUAUCGGCUUAAGAUGAGCCCGCGUUGGAUUAGCUGGUUGGUGGGGUAAAGGCCUACCAAGGCGACGAUCCAUAGCUGGUCUGAGAGGAUGAUCAGCCACACUGGGACUGAGACACGGCCCAGACUCCUACGGGAGGCAGCAGUGGGGAAUAUUGGACAAUGGGCGCAAGCCUGAUCCAGCCAUGCCGCGUGAGUGAUGAAGGCCUUAGGGUUGUAAAGCUCUUUCACCGGAGAAGAUAAUGACGGUAUCCGGAGAAGAAGCCCCGGCUAACUUCGUGCCAGCAGCCGCGGUAAUACGAAGGGGGCUAGCGUUGUUCGGAAUUACUGGGCGUAAAGAGCGCGUAGGCGGAGAGAUAAGUCAGGGGUGAAAUCCCGGGGCUCAACCCCGGAAUUGCCUUUGAUACUGUUUUUCUUGAGUGCAGAAGAGGUAAGUGGA